This 60-nucleotide ribosomal RNA is filed under the name uncultured bacterium. RNAcentral describes it as "partial 16S ribosomal RNA". The record is from RNAcentral.
CAGACUUGACAUCCUGUCAACCCCUCAGAGACGUGGGGGUGCCUUCGGGAGCACAGAGAC